GCGACCCCAGGUCAGGUGAACAACCCACUCCC
This 32-nucleotide ribosomal RNA is filed under the name Musa beccarii. Its description in RNAcentral is "partial 26S ribosomal RNA". The record is from RNAcentral. Lineage: Eukaryota; Viridiplantae; Streptophyta; Magnoliopsida; Zingiberales; Musaceae.